GUUGGAGUGCCAGGCACCCUCACCACACACAGAGAGGCACUCGGCGGUGCCUGCCUUGUGUACACCUUUCUCUCACCUCGGGCAGUCCGCCUCUCUCUCUCUCACCUCCCCGUGGGUGUCCAGUGCUCUAGUGUGCCGCUUCACCAGACGUGAGGAGCCAUCACCAUGGAUCCCGAAGCCUUCCUGGAGAUGGCCAACCAGGUCACCAAACUCAAGAUGUAUCCUUACUUCGAUAUCGCUCACUGCACCCUCUGCUGCCUCUACGUCAGGGAGGACCUUGGCACCGGUUCUCUUCCUUUCUCCCGCAAACACCCCCUGGCAAACUGGCUGUCCUGCAUGAUCACCAUCUUCGCGGGCGGCCUACUGGCAAACUUCUUGCUCGGGGAACCUAUCCUCGGUGCUCUGAAGAACAACCAGCAACUCCUCCUGGCCACAGCUGUUUGGUAUGUCAUUUUUUACUCUCCCUUUGAUGUGGGCUACAAAAUUGCCAAGUUUCUCCCAGUUAAGGUUCUGCUAUCUGCCAUGAAGGAGGUGUAUAGAGUAAAGAAGAUCAAUGAUGGCGUGGCCCAUGCAGCAAAGGUGUUCCCUAAUGGUUACCUCAGUAUGAUACUCAUUGGCACCCUCAAGGGUAAUGGUUCUGGCUUCCUGAAGAUUAUGGAACGGUUGAUGCGUGGCGUCUGGACACCCGCGGCAGUCGAAGUUAUGCAGCCUACCUUCCCCACCAAGGCAUCCAUUGCUGCUGCUCUCAUCUUUGUUGUGGACAAGAAAACCGAUCUCAUCUCUGCUCCCCAUGCUCUUGUCUAUUUUGGCAUUUGUAUCUUCUUUGUCUACUUCAAGCUGUCGUCCCUUCUGCUUGGAAUCCACGACCCAUUUGUGCCAUUCGAGAACCUGUUCUGUGCCAUAUUUUUGGGCGGCAUCUGGGAUUCACUGGCCCAUACUCUUGCUGGUAGGAAGGGAGCUGCUGCGGAGAAAGGCACAGAGGCUGUUAAAAAUGGUAAUGGUAAAAAGAAAAAUGAUUAAAGCAGCAGUGUGUGGCUUGUGAGUGUUACCACUAACAGAGAGACAAUUAACCUGUUGAUAAAUUCUUCACGACUUCUAGUACUGUGAUCAAGACAUGCAUUGGUAUAGUUUGUUCUGGCUCAGGGUUUGACAUCGGAGUGUGUAAAUUGAUGGUAACGUAAUUGGGGAAAACCUAUGCCACCUGUGCUAAUGGCAGUGAUUGUGCUUGUAGUAAUGCACCUCUUGCUCAGAUCUUCCCCUUUUGUACAGAAAGUUGGGUAAAUUUUUAUGUAAUACGCUUUUUAGUUACAAAAGUGGGGAUAAGUAUCCAGAAUAUAGGUACACAUCAUAUUUGAGGUAUAUACAUGCUAUUGGCAUCAAAAUAAAUCCUGUCCAUUUUGUAUACUGUGUCGUUUUAUGAUCUAAAUAUUCACUGUUGUCUAGUACAGUGAUGUAAAAAAAGGAAACCAUACUUUUCAAGUAGCAGUAGCCAAAGGUUAAUAAAAGAAUUGUUAUUAUAUGUUAGUAAACAAUGUUCAGGAGGAAAAGGUUUACAUGUGUAUAUCAUUUUAUAUAACAUUAAGGGAACUGCAGAGAAAUACAUUUUUCUGUUCAACAUUAGCACCCGAGUGAUGAUGGUAAAAUAUAUUUCAUACAAAUUUUUGUAAUCCUUAUCAAAACCAUUUGCUUACAGUAACUAAAGCAAAAAAAUCUUUGUACCAAAGUACUAUAAACUUUAUAUAUAUAUAGACUAGAUAAUAUAUUCUUGGUAAUGAAGAAUUAAAGAUGUACAAAGAAAUUUAAACUGAAUAUUAAUUCACGGAUUUUAUAGACUUGAUAAAAGCUUUUUUUUAUUACAUUUUAGUAAUUCUUACAUAAAAGUGACACAAAGGGUUGUGUUUGUGAAGUUGAAACAAUUUACACUUUAGAUUUUUUCUGGUAUCUUAAUUCCUGUUUUCAGUAUCUAAAAAGUCUUCCUUCUAGAUAGUCCAUACUGUGACUAUUUUAGCAUCCAGUUUCAGUGCUCCCUCUAGUCAUGUUUAUAUGUGCUGGUGAAGGAUUAUUGUUGCUGCUGCUGCUGCUCUUUGUUGGCCUGUAGUGUUAGUGAGAUCAUGUUCUUGCUGGCAUACAGUGUUUGCAAGAUCAUGUUCCUAUUGUAACACGUCGAUGCAGCAGGUAGCUGUAACAUUUAGCAGUCUUUUCUCACCACAAAAUGUUUUUGGUUUGACAUUACCCAGGUAAAGUUAGUUUUAACCUAUGUCUCCAGUGUUAAUUUCAUUUUUUUGUAAUAGCUGAGGUCAUGCGACAGCCGGGCUGUUAAGACAAAACCAGUAAAAUUGUGAUACAGUUGCUCUGAUAAACUGUUUUGUAAAGUAGCCAGCUGCUAUAUUAGAUUAAUAUUAACCUGUGUAGCAGCCGGCUGCAGUAUUAGAUGUAACGUGUAAUAUAGCAGGUGGCGUGCUUAAAUGCAUACUGGAGGUUUUAACAAAUUAUCUCGCAGGGCAUGUGGUUCUGUGAGAGAACCCGGCCAUUUUUUGUAAGCAUAUGCUUGAGCAAGCACUUGUGGCUUUUUUUUUUUUUUUUUGAGUGGCUGACUGCUAUAUAGCCAAUCUGAUUUUGUAAAACUACAUGUAUCCAAAGACAUCUUGAGAAUUCUGUGUUCUCCAAUUUUUAAAUACUGUAUGUGCAAUAAGGAUUCAAGGGACUAAUGAUAGUAUUGCCGAUAUAGUCAUUAAACUACAGGUACAAGUGUUCCUAUAGUGUGAACUAGUAUACAACAACUUCACACCACAAGGCCUGGUGGUAUUUAAACUUCUGUUGUGGUGACUUAAGAGAAACUUAAAAUAAUAAAUUUUUGCAGAAAAUAAAAAUGUAAGACCCU
Molecule: RNA transcript, 2881 nt
Organism: Procambarus clarkii (red swamp crayfish)
Lineage: Eukaryota; Metazoa; Arthropoda; Malacostraca; Decapoda; Cambaridae
Gene name: trimeric intracellular cation channel type 1B.1
Source: RefSeq, a predicted model, not a curated record